AUGGCGAGGCCCGGACGCCCCGUGUCUGAGAGCUACCAGCCCGCAGGCUGUUCCGUCAGCCAGUCCGCCUCUUACUCCAGCGAAGCCAAGGUCCUGGGACCGGAGGACGGCGACGACCACGCGCCCAUUUUCUCCCUCUCUAAGAGCUACAUGGAUGUCGUCACGGCGACGGGGCCGACGCACAAGCGGGACUCGGCCUGUAGCCACGUGGACCUGAAGCGCAGCUCCAGCACCAACACGCACGCCGAGCGGAACUCGGUGACGCUGCAGCAGCUGCACCCUCACAUGUGGCAGCACAUCAACUCCACCCGGCGCCGCCAGUCGUCGCUCUCGGCCGAGAGCGCGGACGUGCACGUGCCUCCCGCCCUCAGCGAGCGGUGGAUGGCCAACAUGCAUCGCUGGAGCGCGUGCAGCGGCACGCUGAGCCGCAGCAGCACUCCGGACACGGUUGUGUGGAGAGGCGGGACCUCGCGGCCCUCGAGUUUAACCCAGGAAACCCCUUGGUCUCCGGUGUCCAAAACGACCCCCUCGCCGACGACGCCCUCGCCCUUUACGUCCCCCUUACAGACGCCGACUCGACCACUGGAAGAUCUUUUGACUUCUUCUUUUUCGACCCAAACGCUGAGGACACAUCAGCAGGAAGUCUUCCCGAAGCCCUCUACACCGCUGUCACCCUCGCAGGCUCAACCCUCCUCACCUUCACCGCCGUACUCCCCCGAUCACCUGCAGCUCACCAGCGCAGAGGAUGAGGGCUUCCUGGACCACAACCAUUAUUGUUUUACAUUCCCAUCCCCGAUCCCGUCGUCUGUUAGUUUAGCAGAAGCGGGUUUGCCAUCAGAUGCUGAAUACCCGGUUGACGAUAACGUGAUGCAGGAUCUCCGCAGUCCUGGGGGCUCGGGGCUACUGGGGGUUGGAGGAGAGAGAAGCCCGGACAACGUGUUAAAUCAUUCGGCGGCUACAUCUCCAGAAGAUGAAGAGGAAUCGGGAAGAGGAGCCUCAGUCUGCCACCUCGAGCUGCCAUGGCAGCCGGGCCCAAGCUGUCCGACGGGCCGCGGUUGGAAAUCACCCCUGGUUUCUUCCCUGAGCGACUCGCUAUUGGGGGACUGCUGCAGGUGCAACUUGAACACCAGAGAGGGCAUCGUGAGGGCGCAGGUGUUGCGGGAGGCAGGUACAAUGACUUCACAGCCGGAGCUGGUGGACGCGGCGGUGCAGACGAUCUCCCCCGUCGCCUCCCUGUGGGUCCUCGGGAGAAAGAUGCCCAACUCCAACAUGGGCUCCCACUCCCUCCUGGGCUCGCCGCCCGGAUCAAGGCUGAACCUUAAGUCCUCAGCGGGGUCAAACACCAACCUGGUGUCCCCGUCCCCUAGCAUGUUCCCGAUGAGCAGCUGCGACGAAGAGGCGAGGCAAGGAGACGACCCGGCGUGGGAAAUCAACUCCGCCUCCUCGCAGGAUCUGGAGAGGAGGCGGUCGUGUCUGAAGAUAAAGAUGGGCGAGGAGGGGGAGGUCAUGGGGAGGAGGGGCAGCAUGAAGCAGGUGCAGUGGGACGAGGACGGCAUGACAUGGGACGUUCACGGAGCCUCGCUGGACCCGGAGGUGCUGAGCACGGCCAUACAGAAACAUCUGGAGCUCCAGAGCAGCCCCCGCACGCCGCGACUUUCUUUGAAGAAGAACAAAGCGCCUAAGCCUCCUCUCAUGGGGAACGUGGUGAAGGCAAUUGCCCCGGAUCUUCAUUCGCCGGUGGCGAUUGUCAAUUCCACUUGCAAGGAGCGCGAGAACAAGGGGACACCAGAGGAGGACGGAGGGAAAAAGGAGGAAAGAACAAAAGCGGUUCGUAGAAUAAGCCGAGCGGAGGCCGCGUAUGUCAAAGACGACGACGAGGUGUACGGAGGCGAAGGCACCACCAAUCCUGAAUCACCUUCUAGUGGGAGGGGACACAGCUGCAAAAAGGGUGUGAUCAGGUCCCUGAAGAAGCCUGGCUGGUGUGGAGGCUCCCGAAGGGAAGAUGACUGA
This is a long non-coding RNA of Gasterosteus aculeatus (three-spined stickleback), 2010 nucleotides long. The record is from Ensembl. NCBI's taxonomy places the organism in Eukaryota, Metazoa, Chordata, Actinopteri, Perciformes, Gasterosteidae.